GACCACGGCACCUUGCGCGAUGCCUGGCCGGGGCUCCUCCAGUAACACUGGCCCGCAGAAGGAAAGAACCCCGGCCUGGGAAUCUGCGCGGGACCGCCCGUGAUUGUCUCUGCCCUCUGCGCCCGGCCUGGGUUCAGCGCUUUCAGAGAGGGAGCCAGUGGAGAGGGUGCAGGCCGAGGUCCCCGAAGACCUGCCCCCGGAGCCGGGCACGGGGAACGGUCAAGUGGCCCUUGGCGCCGAGGAAGCCCCGCGAACUUGGGGCAGCUCAGACCGCCCAAGUCUCCCAGUCCUCGUGAGAAACAAGAGCAAAUAAAUUACUUUUGCCUCUA
Orcinus orca (killer whale) is the source of this 329-nucleotide long non-coding RNA. RefSeq lists it as uncharacterized. The transcript is spliced from 2 exons. NCBI's taxonomy places the organism in Eukaryota, Metazoa, Chordata, Mammalia, Artiodactyla, Delphinidae. The record is from RefSeq and is a predicted model, not a curated record.